UACACAGUGCUGACAGGAACAUCUCAGUAGGAAGGGAGAGAAGGACAAAGGCAGGACCUUACAAGCUCGAGCAGGUGAGGCUGGGGUCCUCUUUGCACAACUGGUGAGUGCUGGGCUGGUCACCGUGGCAGGGAGGGAGCCACGUGUGAGUACUGGCACAGGUUCCUCAGGGGAAUUGGGGCUGGGAGCACGCGAAAGUUCUCUUCAAAUUUUCUUAACGAAUUAAGAAUCUAAGAAGUUGUGAAUGCAUUGAGGGAGGGGCUAUUUGACGUUGGAGGAGAGAGAAAAGUGUAAAAUUGUCUCAGAGAGUGGGAGAGUACAUUGAUGAAGGAAGCAGCUGUCAAAUUUUAGGCCACCUCAGAAUCACUUGUCCCUGUCUUUGGCAUGUCUCUGGGAUGGGGCCAGAGAAUUGACAUUUCUUCCUUCCUUCCUUCCUUCCUUCCUUCCUUCCUUCCUUCCUUCCUUCCUUCCUUCCUUUCUUUCUUUCUUUCUUUCUUUCUUUCUUUCUUUCUUUCUUUCUUUUCCUUCUUUCUUUCCUUCUUUCUCUCUUUUUCUUUCUUUCUCUUUCUUUUUUUCUUUCUCUCUCUCUCUCCCUCUCUCUCUUUCUUUCUUUUGAUUUUUUUUUUCAGGAAGAGAAUUUAGUGAUUCAUCGCUUACAUAUAACACCCAGUGCUCAUCCCAACAAGUGCCCUUCUUAAGGGCCCCUUUUAGCCCAUCCCCCCACCCAACACCCUGCCAGCAACCCUCAGUCUGUUCUCUGUAUUUAAGAGUCUCUUAUGAUAUUUCUCCUUCUCUGUUUUUAUCUUAGUUUUGCUUCCUUUCCCCUAUGUUCAUCUGUUUUGUUUCUUAAAUUCCACAAAUGAGUGAAAUCAUCUGAUAUUUGCCUUUCUCUGACUGAUUUAUUUUGCUUAGCAUAAUACACUCUAGCUCCAUCCACAUUGUUGCAAAUGGCAAGAUUUCAUUCUGUUUGAUGGCCGAGUAAUAUUCCGUUGUAUAAGUUCAGGUGAUACUGAUGCUGCUAGCACAGGGAUUUCAUUUUGAGAACCACUGGACUAGGACUAAACCCUAGUUCUUGCACAGACAUGUUUACUACACAGGGGCAUUUGGGUAGAGGGCUGUGCAGAAAAAUUCUUAGAAUUCCAGUAACAGAAGAGAGUUCCAAAUGGGGAUCCAAAGUGACUCUGUUGCCAGCACUGAUAAAAUCGAUGGAGAGAAAGGAAGAUGAUAUUAACACGCACAGAGAAAGGGAGCUAACCUACUUCUUCUGAAAAGUUUGAGAAACAGAUGACAAAAUGGCUCCAGCAGCCAAGCACACAAGGAAGGUCCUUUCACAAACAAUGGUCAUUUAAGAUCUUAGAAAGUCCUAUAAGAUGGAGUCCACAGUAGUGGGUGGAGAGAUACGGAAGAUAAAGACUGCCCAAAGGAGCAUCCUGCCCAUUCAGCCAUGGGAGUAAAAUGAAUGAUCAGAUAUUAUAUUUGGGGAUUCAAGCAAUUUUGGCUUCCAUCUGGAAAUGUUGACUUGAUGGUUGUUACAUGAUAGUUCCAAAAGUUGGUUGAUUUCUUCUCCAGAUAAUUUUGGUAAUGGUGUCUAUUCCACAGUUCACAUAUUUUCAGAAGCUCUGGAAAAGAGGAAAUAAGCAAACGACAGUCAUAUUCCAGGUAGUAAAUGGCAGGGGAAUUGGUGAAACCAAUGUCCAGAAACCAGAAUAAUAUCAGUUUUUUCCCUCCUUUCAGACUUGAUCUUAAGAUGCUCUCAAUGCGUCUACUUCCCCAAGUUGCCUCCUCAGACUUUAGCAUCCUGUACUUGGCUAUUUUUUUUAAUUCAUUUAUUGCUUAAUUUACAUCCAAGUUAGUUAGCAUAUGGUGCAAAAUUGAUUUCAGGAGUAGAUUCCUUAAAGCCUCUUACCCAUUUAGACCAACCCCUGUCCCACAACCCCUCCAGUAACCCUCUGUUUGUUCUCUAUAUUUAAGAGUCUCUUAUGUUUUGUCCCCCUCCCUGUUUUUGUAUUAUUUUUGCUUCCCUGCCCUUGUGUUCAUCUGUUUUAUAUCUUAAAGUCCUCAUAUGAAUGAAGUCAUAUGAUAUUUGUCUUUCUCUGACUAAUUUUGCUUAGCAUAAUACUCUCCAGUUCCAUCCAUGUAGUUGCAAAUGGCAAGAUUUCAUUCUUUUGGAUUGCCAAGUAAUAGUCCAUUGUAUAUACAUACCACAUCUUCUUUAUCCAUUCAUCCGUCGAUGGACAUUUGGGCUCUUUCCAUACUUUGGCUAUUGUCAGUAGCGCUGCUGUAAACAUUGGGGUGCAUGUGCUCCUUCAAAACAGCACACCUGUUUUAUUUAUCCCUUGGAUAAAUACCUAGUAGUGCAAUUGCUGGGUCGUAGGGUAAUCCUAUUUUCAAUUUUUUGAGGAACCUCCAUACUGUUUUCCAGAGUGGCUGCACCAGCUUGCAUUCCCACCAACAAUGCAAAAGAGAUCCUCUUUCUCUGCAUCCUCACCUACAUCUGUUGUUGCCCGAGUUGUUAAUGUUAGCCAUUCUGACAGGUGUAAGGUGGUAUCUUAUUGUGGUUUUGAUUUGUAUUUCCCUGAUGAUGAGUGAUGUUGAGCGUUUUUUCACGUGUCAGUUGGCCCUCUGGAUGUCUUCUUUGAAGAAGUGUCUAUUCAUGUCUUUUGCCCAUUUCUUCACUGGAUUAUUUGUUUUUUGGGUGUUGAGUUUGAAAAGUUCUUUAUAGAUUUUGGAUACUAAGCCUUUAUCUGAUAUGUCAUUUGCAAAUAUCUUCUACCAUCCCGUCGGUUGCCUUUCAGUUUUGCUGAUUGUUUCNNNNNNNNNNNNNNNNNNNNNNNNNNNNNNNNNNNNNNNNNNNNNNNNNNNCAAUAGUUCAUUUUUGCUUUUGUUUCCCUUGCCUCCAGAGACAUGUUGAGUAAGAAGUUGCUGCAGCUGAGGUCAACAGGCUUUUGCCUGCUUUCUCCUCUAGGAGUUUGAUGGCUUCCUCUCUUACAUUUAGGUUUUUCAUCCAUUUUGAGUUUCUUUCUGUGUAUGGUGUAAAAAAGUGGCCCAGGUUCAUUUUUCUGCAUGUUGCUGUCCAGUUUUCCCAGCACCACUUGCUGAAGAGACUGUCUUUAUUCCAUUGGGCCUUCUUUCCUGCUUUGUCAAAGAUUAGUUGGCCCUACAUUUGUGGGUCCAUUUCUGGGUUCUCUAUUCUGUUCCAUUGACCUGAGUGUCUGUUCUUGUGCCAGUACCAUACUGUCUUGAUGAUUACAGCUUUGUAAUAUGUCUUGAAGUCUGGGAGUGUGAUUCUUCAGCUUCGGUUUUCUUUUUCAAGAUUGCUUUGGCUAUUCAGGAUCUUUUCUGGUUCCAUACAAAUUUUAGGAAUAUUUGUUCUAGCUCUGUGAAGAAUGCUGGUGUUAUUUUGAUAGGUAUUGCAUUGAAUAUGUCGAUUGCUUUGGGUAGUAUCAACAUUUUAACAAUGACUUCUAGAACUGAUCCAUUAAUUCAGCAAAGUCACAGGAUAUAAAAUCAGUGCCCAAAAAUUGUUUGCAUUCUUAUACACCAAUAAUGAAACAACAGAAAGAGAAAUCAAGGAAUCGAUCCCAUUUACAAUUGCACCAAAAACCAUAAAAUACCUAGGAAUAAACAUAAUCAAAGAGGUGAAAUAUCUAUACACUGAAAACUAUAGAAAGCUCAUGAAAGAAAUUGAAGAAGACACACACAAAAAAAUGGAAAAAUAUUCCUCUACUUGGCUAUUCUGGAGGUCAUGUUGCUAAUCUCUUCAGGCAUGCCCAGUCUCAAGUUCAUCUCUGACCUCUCCACUCUAACUGAUCACUACACUACUAUCCAUCUCUGGCCCAGUUUUGCAUUAAGAGCUCACACCAUCACCAAUCAGUACAGGGCAGUGUGGAGCAAUUCUCACCUCCAUAUUUUUAUUCAUAUAUUCAUUCACUUAUCCAUUCACUUAAACAUUGAGUGCUGGGGCGCCUGGGUGGCUCAGUCGGUAAAGCAUCCGACUUCAGCUCAGGUCAUGAUCUCGCAGUCUGUGGGUUCAAGCUCCGUGUUGGGUCUGUGCUGACCACUCAGAGCCUGGAGCCUGCUUCAGAUUCUGUCUCCUUCUUUCUCUGCCCCUCCCCUGCUCAUGCUCUGUCUCUCUCUUUCUCAAAAAUAAAUAAACAUUAAAAAAAAAAAAAAAGAAACAUUGAAUGCCUACUGUGGAUUAAGAACCAGAGGCCAUAGUAGGAUCCUAGAGCCUGGGGGUUGAGAGAUGAAUAUGACACAGGUUCUGCUGUUGAGCAGUUCACAAUAUAGUUAGGGGAGAUAGACAUAUUAACAAGUAAUUGCCACGUCAUGUAAUGCACCAGUGGAAUUAUGCACACUGUAUUAUGGUACAAUGGAAUAAGGAGUAAAUAGCUGCACUUGGGGGAGAACACAGAGACUUCUCAGGGGAGGUAACAAUCGAUCUGUGUCCUACAGAAGUUUUCUACUCCAAGGAAAAGAUAAGGGCAUUUCAUACACCAAGAAUGGGGAGGACUUGAAGACCCAAAGGAGUAUGACAUAUUUUGGAGAUGGCAGUUGGUCUGACAAGACAAAAUAGGCAGUUUUGUGUUGUGCUUAAUUGUGCAGGAUCCAAAGCCAAACUAUAUGGGUACAAAUUUGGCUCUUACUCCCUGUGUGAUUUUAGACAAGUUAUUUAACCUCUCUGUGCCUCUGUUUUCCUACAUGUAAAAUGUGGAUAAAAACAGAUUCUAUCUGAUAGGAGUAAUUUGGAGAUUUAAUGAGUUAACACAUGUCACCUUUAGAAUAAUGCUUUGUAUAUUGUAAGUGCACAGAAAAUGUUAUUGUUGCAGACAUCUCUGGAUGUUGCCAUCAUCACCAUCAUCAUCAUCGCCACCACCACCAUCAUCGUCAUCAUCCCAGUUUUGCCUUUUUCUUUUUAUCCUUAAAUCUAACUCAUCAUUAAAUCAUCUCUUUUCUACCCUGUAUUCUAAAUAUUUCUUAAAUCCAUAUUCUCAUCACUGUCCUUAUUACUGUUAUGUUACUUUAAGCUCUCAUUGUCUCUUUAAUACUUGGAAAGUAUGAUACUUGAAGAGGUUUAGCUCUUAGCCCCUAUGCCUUUUCCAGACAUUUCAAGCUUCCUAUCCAAUAGAUUUUUCCAUGGAGCAAAGAAAUCAAAGGAGAUAAUGUUGGAAAGGUAAUCAGUGACUAGAUUAUAAACAGUCUGCAUGCCAGGAUAAGAAGUUUUGACUUAAUUCUGUAGCUGAUGGAGAGUCAUUAAAUAUUUUAAGCAGAGAAAUGACUGAUCGGGUUUGCAUUUUAUAAACAUGAGGUGGAAAUUCUAGAGAUGGAAUAUAUAGGUCUCUCUGGAAGAUUGAUUGGGGAGGAGGGGAUAGGGUAAGGGAGGAAUCAAGAUGAUCCAGUCCCCUCCAAUCAAGACCCCCCCUAGUAUUGACUGGAGAUACUUGGUGGAUGGGUUAUUAUCUUCUGACAUGGCUAGAGCAUGGAGUUUGGGAAGAAAGAGGCUAGAAAUGAAGCUAGAGAGAAAGAAUGACUUCAAUCACAAAGCAUUUGGGGCUUUUUCCUCUGAAUCCAGAAGGACUUCUGAGUCCAAAACUAAGGGUGCAGAGGUAGAUGCUUUUUUUUUAUUUGGGAGAAUGAGAACAAUGAUUCUUUCCCAUUGGCCUCUCUUUUCUGUACAUCCUAUUAUGAUACUUUUCCUUCCCUAGUCUUUGCCUCCCUUUCCUUUUCAGGCUACUUAAAAUUUAACCAUCAUUAAAAAACUGGUGAAAACUCUACUUCCUGUAAACAUCUAUUGUAUCUGACUACUCUACCCCACACUAAUAUCUGUUCUGAUUGCCCAUCAUACUGAAUGUUUAGAUGUUUUGUCUACUACAUUAAAUUACUGCCUUUAAGAGUAAAACCAAUAAUUGAGUCCUCAAAAGGCACAUAGCAGGAACCCUAAACUCCUUUAUGGAUUCAGAGAGCAUUAGAGGGAAACAUUGAGAUCAACUUAUCUUGUCUAGUGGUGUCCACCUGGAAUCUAACAUUCCAAGCUAUUGUCAUUGUGUCCAUAUGCCAUAUUUCUUGUUUUAAGAUCCUAAUAGCUAUUGUACAAUUUCUUAUAUCAAGUCUAUCUAAGAUCCUAAUAGCUAUUGCACAAUUUCUUAUAUCAAGUCUAUCUAAUCUGCUUUGAUAACUCUAUCAAUCCAGUUUUGUAAUUCUGGUGAUCACAUAAGAAAUGAAUCAAUGAUUUAACAAACUGCAAAUCAGUAGAAAAAUCUUUCAAAAGAUGGAGGGCAUGAAGAGAGGACAAAACAUUCCUUGGUGGUAGAAAUUAGCAACCACUGCUCUUGGCCAACAGUCAUGCUAAUGAAGGCCCUAGUUGAGAAGCUAGCCAGGGUCAUAACCGACUAAAUAGCUCACCUAGGACUAGGAUGCAGGUCUCGAUGCAUCCUGGUGCUUGGAAUUCAGUACUGCUCCACUGAAGGGUCCUUAUCAGUACUAGGAAUUACUACUGACAUGUGCAGGAUGGGAGAGAAGGAGCUACCAUUUGUUGAGAGUUUAAUAUUUAUUAGUCACUCUAUUGGGUGUUUUGUUAUGCAUUAUUGCAUUUCUUCUCCACAAAAAAACCUUUUAAUUUCAUUUUGUUGUAAUAAAAAGAUUUUUUUAGGUAAUGAAAUUGAGACCAAAUUAGGUUAAGAAAUGCUCCCCAGGUCCACCAAGUUGAAAGUGGCAGAAUCUUUCCAAAUUCAGGAACUCUCUGGCUCUUAGGUGUAGGUGUAUUCACCUGAUUUUUGAGAAAAGUGUUACAGGAAGCUUGAAAGGUUCUGGGAAAGAUAAAGGCCCAGGGCUAAAGAAAGCACUGAGGAAAAUGAGAGAAAGUCUCAAGUAAACUAGAAAAUUCUUUAAAGCUUGUUCUUUUCAGAAUCAUUAUCUGGACUGAGCCUCAUUCUUUGCCCAGUACUGUACCUCAGCUCUCUUUCUGUUGCCACAGCCCAACCCCUCCCUCCUUCUUCCCAAAUCACGGUGACCUCCAUGCACUAUGGGGCAGCUAUGGAGAUGGGCAGUUUGGCUAUGAAAGCACUGCUAACUCUGUCUCUAGCCUCCUCCUCUCCCCUGACAUCUCUAUUACUUGUAAAGUCAGAUAUCAUGUUGAACUUCAAAUUUAGAACGUGUGUUCAUUGUAAAUUAGCUCCUCUUCCACUAUUUCCCAUUUCUAUGAUGGCAUUAUGAUUUUUUUCAUCAGCUGGGCUCAACACUUAGAAGUGCCUCUUGUCUUGUUCCCAUACAGGUCUAAGAUGUACUUCCCUGAUGUCUUUCACAGCCUUCUCUAUGAUCCAAGGUCACUACCACUGCUCUGUCAUGGCCUUCAUGACCUCUUGCUUGGAUUAUAGCAAUAGCCUCUUGUUUCCCAUCCCAUCUCACUCAAUCACUUUCUCUUUCCAUCCAUCCCAUAUAUCUCUAACAGAUUAAGUUUUCUAAAGCUCUGUUCUGAUCAUGUCCCAUUACUCCUUAAAAGCCAGUAAUAUUUUCCUGUUGCUGCCCAAAUAAAUACAAAUGCUCAGACUCCCAUGCAAGCUUCACCCAAUUUCAUUUCUCAUCCCUGAUCUCCCAUGUAAUAUCUCCUACAGAUAAAAACAGUAAAGCACUUUCAUAUACUGUUUCCCUCUGGCCUUUCUAUCUCUGUGCAUUUGCUGAUACUGAUAUGCCUUAUGCUCAUCUCUCCAUCCUUGCUGUCAUUUGGAAUCCUAUGCAGCAACCUUGGAUCUUCCAUAAAGUAACUUUCUAAUGACCCCCAGCUUAAACGUUCUCUUGUUUUUAGCCUUUUUGUUUGUAUUUUUAGCCUUUUAGCAUCUCUCUCUCUCUGACAUUUAUCAAGACAAUUAUAGUUUGGUUAUUUCUUUUCUUAUGUAGUGGGCAUAAAUGUACAACUAAAAUUCAGAACGGCAAGGGUCGCCUGGGUGGCUCAGUUGGUUAAGCGUCUGACUUCAGCUCAGGUCAUGAUCUCAGGGUUCGUGGGUUUAAACACCGCAUCAGGCUCUGUGCUGACUUCUCAGAGCCUGGAGCCUGCUUCAGAUUCUGUCUCCCUCUCUCUCUGCCCCUCUCCUGCUCAUGCUCUGUCUCUUUCUCUCUCAAAAAUAAACAUUUAAAAAAAUUAAAAAUAAAAUAAAAUAAAAUAAAAUUCAGAAUGUCAAUAAAUGUCAGUUCGAACACCAUAUAUAUCUGACUCUGAGUCCCAAUGCCUCCAGAUGAGUGGGAAAAAAUCAAUCUUCUCCAGGAAUGAGUGAGAAUCUAAGAAGCCAUGGUAUCCACAGGUAAUGAAGGUUAAGAGCCUUUAGCUUCUAGCCCAUCAUUUGGUUCUGUGAUCUGAGCCUUCGCAAUUCCUUGAAGGAAGCCAAUUGUCUGGGACGUACCUUCUUUCCAUGGCCCACUCUUCCCUGCUAAGGUCUGUCCUCCUGUUUAUGGUGCUGGUAGAAGGAGGGACAGGCUCCUGCCUCCCAUGGAUCCAGCUGAAUUCUAUUCCCCUUCUAUAGGAGUGGGGGUGGGGAAUCCUUCUGCUCUCUUGGCCUUCAAAGAUAAUCCUCAUCCUCUGCCUCUCCUUACUGGUUAUCCAAUAUUUUCACAAAAAUCAUAAAGCCUUUCACAAAAGAUUGAAGAAAAGAUUGUCUUCCUGUAUUUCUGUAACAUAAACCUCCCUGAGGCAAAGGAGCCAGUGAGCCCAGCGACCUUCUCAGCCUGGCAGAGGCAGAGAACAAAACACGAGUUCUUCCAUCCGGAAUCCUGCCACACUUGUCUACAUUACCUGAUGACAGCAAUAGCCUUCUCAGGUUUCUAUCCUUUGCAGCCUGUGCACAUUGCAAAAAUAUCUGGCUUCACAAAUGGGCAGGAUUCAGGAGGAUUCAAUCAUCAGGAAAUGUCCAGUUUUGGUUUGGUUUUGUUUUUCCUCUACCACAACCAUCACAAUUCCUGUUGGUUCUCCUUUCUCUGCCCUUGGACAAAAUCUCUGACAGAUCUCUUGGCUUUACCUCCUGUCACUUCCAAGUAUUAAAAUGCUUCUAUUGGGGCGCCUGGGUGGCGCAGUCGGUUAAGCGUCCGACUUCAGCCAGGUCACGAUCUCGCGGUCUGUGAGUUCGAGCCCCGCGUCGGGCUCUGGGCUGAUGGCUCAGAGCCUGGAGCCUGUUUCCGAUUCUGUGUCUCCCUCUCUCUCUGCCCCUCGCCCGUUCAUGCUCUGUCUCUCUCUGUCCCAAAAAUAAAUAAACGUUGGAAAAAAAAAAUGCUUCUAUUUCCAGUAAUUUGGAAAUCUGGACCGAUCCAAUGGUAGACUUUUGCUGUCUCCUGUAGUUCACAGCACCUUCCCUUUCCAUUGCUCAUGCCUAACCUGCACUCAGAAUCCCGGACUCAGGAGAGGGCCUGUGUCUGUGCUGACUCCACAACCUCUCCUGUAUCCCGGGUGCUACUAACUCUUCAACAUUCAGAGCAACGAGUGGAGGGGAAGACGGAUGGCAAGAAAUGGGGCAAGAUGCGAUUAUUUAGCCAGUGCUAUUUGAACAUCUCUCUUGGCUACUGAAUGCCUUCUCUCUUAUGGAAAAAGCCUAAAUGCUGGCUUGCUUUUCUUGUGAGGAAUGUCUGUGGAUUCUUUGGAGGACACUCUUCAUGCCCACUUCCAGACUUCCACAGUGCUGUAUUAUGUGUGUCAUGCACUCUUUGGAUAAGUCCCAUGCAGCUCUUUCUCUUGUGCCCACCUUCUUUCCCUGGUGUCCACUUGGCCUGCCCAGAACUCUUUGUGCGGGCUUGUCUCUCUUGUCCCCUGCUCCCAUUGAAACCACGCAAGAUCAGGCCACUCGCCUUGUCCUGCCACCAGGGGCCAUCUGUGGCAACCUCUGUCUUCAUCAGGUACACACCUAAACUCUCAUGGUUACAUGUAGAUUUCCUGCUCUUGUGGCAGAACUGGUGCAUCCCAGUGAGCAUUUAAUUGAGGACUAGGUGAGCUGUCUCUUUCCCUUGGCAGAUUUGAGAGGUUCUCUUGAUGUUUCCUUCACUUGGCUUAGGAUGGAGGAACAUUCCAGAACCUGCUCUCCUAACCAACAACUCUCUUUAUACUUUUAAAAGAAUUUUUUAAGUUUAUUUAUUUAUUUGAGAGAGAGAGAGAGCGAGCGCGCACAAGCUGGGGAGGGGCAGAGAGAGAGAGAGAGAGGGAAACACAGAAUCUGAAGCAGGCUUUGGGCUCGAGGUUGUCAAUGCGGAUCCAAAGCAGGGCUCGAACUCAUGAAUCGUGAAAUCAUGACCCGAGCAGAAGUCAGAUGCUCAACCAACUGAGUCACCCAGGUGCCCCUUGGCAACUCUCUUUAUAGAAAGCCUUUUUCUGCCACUAAAUCCCUAGCUUUCUCUUAGACAAGCUGGAGGUGGUGACAGGCUAAGGGCCAUAUGAUCACAUCUGGCCACUUUUAACAAGUCCUGAGUAGAAGUGCCCUACAUCUCUUUUUAGAACUUGUUGUACUCCUUAGCUAUUUUUCUCAGCUUUGGAUUUCAGCUGAAAUUCUGAGACAACAGAAAUACCUGUUGUAUUAAAUAACCUUCAAAUCCAUUCAUUUUUUUGGGUACAUGAACACAAUAUAGUAAUUAAAGAAAAUGACUAUGGAAAAAAAAAAAAGUGGACUUCAUCCUUGUAAACAUAUUCUGAGCACCAGUUGGAUUAGGCAGGUUGUCUGUCUCCUAGCCCCUUAAGUGUUGGAAAGAGGCCUAUUGAAUAACCUUUCUUUAUCACCUAUGGUAGGUCUUUCCUUGAUCAUUUUAAUUUAUUACAUGGCAAAUGUUGAUAUAAGUAAUUACAUUUCAACUGCAUGGGGGAAGUAUUUUUAAAAAUAUUUGUAAAACUUUACUUUUAAAAGCUGAGGUGCAUUUGGAAAACUUAAGCUUCUCCUUAUACUCAAGUGCUGAUUCUUUUCUGAACCCAGAAAAAGGACUAUUGCAUUCACCUAUUUCCUACCCUAACAUGGAAAAAAACAGUUACACAGUGUUCUAGAAGAACUGUUUGCAUGAGAAAAAAUAGCUUUUAGAUUCAGGGAGAACCUUCCUUACCAUCCAAGUGGCUUAUGAAAUUGAGAAGCCCAUCCAAUGGCAGAGUCAGAACCUCAGAUUGCGGGCAUUGGCAAAUGGUUGUGGGUGGAGCCCACAGGCAGGCUCUGCAAGGGCCUGGAAUUUAACCUUGUGAUCUGGAGGAAGUGCUUGUGUUUGCAUGUGUAACAUGUUUUUCUUUCAAUCAUUAAAAAUCAUUAAUCCUGAGUUUAUCUGUGUUUCCCAGAGUGUGGACUAUGGACCACCUGUAUCAGAAUCAACUAGAGAGCACGUGUAAAUGCAGAUACCUGAUCAGGACCAUGGGGUCCACCAGCCUCUCAAGUUUAGAAUCCCUGUAGGUUUCACUCUCCUUGUUGGCACAGGCACCUCGGAGAGGCUUCAGGCCGAGGGCUGUCUGUCUUCUUGUAAAAAAAACCACCAAAACCCCCGUUUCAACUUCCUGUCUUUCCUGGUGCCUUGUUUUCCUGAAAUAGUAUCAUGUCGUCCUCUACUAGUCUGUGAUUCUUUGUCUUUUUUUCCUCCAUUUCCUGUCUUCUACUCUUCCCACUCCCAAUUCAUUGAGAUCAUAGUUUAAUUGAGUCAACCAUGUUGAGUUAUUGAGUUUAUCGAGUCCUUAUGUUUCCAUUUUUAGGGAAAUCAUAUAGUUUAGGGAAAUCAUAUAGUUCCCAUGUCUCUGUCUGAAUCAGUUGCACUCUGGCCAGGAUUGAUCUAAGAUGUACUCCAUGACUGGGAUUUUUUUUUCUACAACAUUCCAGAAUACUUUUGACAUAUACUUGACAUUUACUUCUCAAGUUCUACAACUUGAUUUCAUGCACAACUGUGAAAACUUGCCUGGCCUAAUUCAAACUUUAGAAACCUUAAAGUCAAAGGCCCCGCCCACACAUCCAAAUCCAAGCCCCAGAGUCACAAAUCUGUGACUGUUUUAAUUUCUCAAUUAUUUAAUUUCUCAAAAAUUCCACUGUUUUCGUUUCUCAACAUUCCCAGCCAAGGACCAAACGCUGGAAUCUUUGAGGGGUCAGGUCUCUUCUCGUCUGAGUUCUUAGCCAAUUGAGAAGCAAAACAAAGGAAGGCAGAUGGAGGCCAAAAUAUCAUCAUCAUUAACAAUAAUAAUACGAAGGGGUGCCUGGUGGAUUAGUCGAUUGAGCUUCUGACUCUUGAUUUUGGCUCAGGUCGUGAUCUCAGUUUGUGAGGUGGAGCCCCACAUCAGGCUCUGUGCUGGUGGCAUGGAGCCUGCUUGGGAUUCUUUCUCUCCCUCUCUCUCUGCUCCUCCCCCACUCACACAUGCACAAAUACACAUUCUCUCUCUCUCUCAAAAUAAAUACAAUUUAAAAUAAUAAUAACAACAACAAUGAUAGUAAAGAGGUUCCCGGGUGGCUCAGUCAGUUAAGCGUCCAACUUUGGCUCAGGUUAUGACCUCAUGGUUCAUGGGUUCAUGCCCCUCACCAGGCUCUGUGCUGACAGCUCAGAGCCUGGAGCCUGCUUGGGAUUCUGUGUCUCCCUCUCUCUCUGCCCCUCCCCUGCUCACAUUCUAUCUCUGUCUCCUAAAAAAUGAAUAAAACACUUUUAAAAUGUUUAGAUAAUAAUAAAAAUAAUGGUAAUAAUAAAUUCUGAAGCUGAAAUAAGGAUCAUAAUUGAAUUAGGCAAAGGGCCAAGGCCUAAGAAGGCAGAGCGCCAACUUCUUCUCAAGAGCAAAAUGUGUGGAGCUGGGUGGAGCAUGCCCAGUUUAUUUUUGCCAAGUGUACCAAUUAGAUUAAUCACUGCCCAGCACCCCUGCCUUCUCCCCCAUACCCAUGGCUGACUGUAGGGCCAUAGGGAGAGAGGCUGGGAGUGUAACUAACAGGACACCAUUAAUUUGAAAGGAAAUAUAAAAUGCAAGAGUUGUUUCUUCUGCCGUUAUUUUAUGAACCAAAAUCUAUAUCAGUGUUCCCAAAGUCAAAAUCCUGAAAUAAAACAUUUUCUUGUAAGUUUUUGGAAAACUCACAUGGUAGCAAAAUCAGACCUGAAAUGAUAUGGGGUUACCUAUGGUCCUUAUGCCAUUUGGUUGAAUAUUCAUAUGCUACUAAAAUAUAAAUGUGUUUAAUUAUGGGUUGUUUCCCCAGACCCAUUUGGAGGUGUUAUUUAAAAUAAGGUAUAUAGGGGCGCUUGGGUGGCUCAGUCGGUUAAGUGUCCGACUUCAGCUCAGGUCAUGAUCUCAUGGCUUGUGAGUUCGAGCCCCGCGUCAGACUCUGUGCUGACAGCUCAGAGCCUGGAGCCUGCUUCGGAUUCUGUGUCUCCCUCUCUCUCUCUGCCCCUCCCCUGCUCAUGCUCUGUCUCUCUCUGUCUCAAAAAUAAAUGAAACAUUUAAAAAACAAAACAAAACAGUAUAUAUACCAUGUUACCUUUCUAAAGUCCAGCAAAGUCUGAGGUAUGAAACGUAUUAGAUCUCAAAAGUUUUAGGCGGGGGAAGUGUGUUCAGUGUGGGAGACAAUGAUUGGCUGAAGAUAAAUUACUAAGAAAUCUCGGGAAUGUGAGGGAAGCAAGUGUAGGGGAGGAAAAAUAUCUUUUUCCCCCAUUCUUCUAAGUUCUUGGUUGGGGCCCCUGUAACAAAAGACGGGUUAACAAGAGAAAAUCAUAUAAACUUAUGUAACAUAAGUUUUACAUGACAUGGGGGACUUCAUAAGGAAAUGAAGACCCGAAGAACCUGGGUGUGUUUUUAUGAUAAGUCUGAUGAAGAGUGAAAAGUCGUGGGAAAAUGUGACAGAAUGAAAAGGGGUGUGAACUCAGUGGUAAACAUGGGGAAGCAGCAAAGCCUGUGGGUUCAGAUUCCUCUUUGUGUCUUUGAGAUAAGGACAUUCCUUUCCUCCAGCUGUAAGAAGGAUACUUCUUGCCUGAGGGUUUUGUAUUCUGCUUCAGGGGAAGGGCAGACAAUCUUUUCUGCUCAUGUCACUUUUUAAAUUCCUUCAGCUUAAAAUAUUCAAUACAUCAAGGUGCCACUGUUUGGGAAAGCAUAUCCUGAACACUGUCACAAGGGAACAGGGACACUGUCACAAGCGGGGAGGAAAUUUGUCUAGGCUCUUUGUUUGGGCUAUGAAAAGCAAGGUGAAAGUUUAUAGUAAUUAGAAUUUGAUAUGGGAUUAUAUAUCAUAUGUUUAUUUUUGGACAAUUGUAUUAAAAAGGUCACCUAAAUAAGAGACCAUUGUUCCAUCAGGAAACAUAGAUGCCAAUACAAGAUCACUGCUGACAGCAGCACGUGGGAGUCAUGGCCAUGGGGAUGUUGACAAUCACAUGGAGUGAGUUGGAGGCCAAGGAAGAUCAUCCCACUUUUCUAUAGAAGGGUCCAGAUUGGGGUGUGCACAUUAUAAGGCUAUGCAAAGAAGGAUUUGAAUUCUCUUUUUGCUGGCUUAACAUUUCCUGAUUCAAUGCUGAUAACAUAGUGCAUCAGCUAGGUAGCCUCACAUAAGUAGCCAAAACCAUCUGGGCACAAUCAGGGUAUUCCUGAUCUUGCCCUCUUGGAACACAGACAAUAUUCAGUCAGUUUUCUAAUGGCUAACCCUGCUUAAGUGUGCAAAUGCAUCUGAAAUUAUUCCAUCAGCAGUGGAAAAGCCUACGUAACAAUCCUCAGAGAGAAUUUUCUUCUGGAAGGAAUCUCAGAUAGCACGACAGUUUCGGAUAUCAGAGGCAUGUGUCUGCCAAAGAUUGCCAUAGAGUUGCAGAAUUUUUGAGUUAGUAGAUAGGAGUCCUUUGUUUUCACCUCUCAAUCAGUGAAGAAUUUUUCUAGAUAAUUUUAUUUUCUAUUAUUUUUGAAAUAAUUUCUAUUAUUCUCUAAACAGUAAGGAGGUCACAAUACCUCAUCUUUAUGGAGCACUAAUUCUAUGCACAGUGCUAAGUGCCUUGCAAGGAAUAUCUCAUUUAAAUUUUUUUUUUUUAUGUUUAUUUAUUUUUGACAGAGAGAGAGACAGAGCAUGAGCAGGGGAGGGGCAGAGAGAGAGGGAGACACAGUAUCCGAAGCAGGCUCCAGACUCUGAGCUGUCAACACAGAGCCCGACGCAGGGCUCGAACUCACAGACUGCGAGACCAUGACCUGAGCCGAAGUCAGACGCUCAACCGACUGAGCCACCCAGGUGCCCCUAGGAUUAUCUCAUUUAAUAAUGGUAAUAGCUAUUGUUUCCUGAGUACCUUGUCUAUGCUGGACACUUACUUUAUAUUCUGAUUUAAUCCUCAUAUCAUGUCAGCAAGCUAGAUGGUAUUUUCACUCCUCAUUUCAGUGAGAAGGGAAACUGAGGCCAGUAAGUUAUGCCAUUUAUGUUCGAACCAAUGUAGUGAGUAAAUGGGAGAGCCAGGGCUGACAUUGGCAUAUUUAAUCACAAGUGUGGCCAAGGCACCAGCCAAUCAGACAUUGGCUCCUGGAGGUCCACCACUGUGCCAGGCAUUAACUCUUCAGUAACUGGACCUUGGGGAGGCGUAGUUGGGGGAUGAUUCCUGAGACCAGUUUGAGUAAAACAGAUUGCUUCUCUAAUGUGAAAUCGGUUGAGAGCUUUAAUAGAACACAAAGGUUUACCCUACCUGUUGGUAAGAGGAAAGUCUUCCUGCCUGAUGGCCUUUGAACUGAGAUUACGGCUUUUUCCUGCCUUCAGAGUAGAACUGAAAUAUUAGCUCUCCCUGGAUCUCAACCCUACUGGCCUUUGGAUUGUAACUACACCAGUGGUUUGUCUGGGUCUCUAGCUUGCUGAUUCACCCUGUAGAUUGUGGACUUGUCAGCCGCCAUAAUCAUGUAAGCCAAUUCCCUAUGACAAAUAUAUAUACACAUACAUCCUCUUGCUUCUGUUCUUUUGGAGAACGCUGACUAAUAUAGAGGCUAGAGGAGGGGCACCUGGGUGGCUCAGCCGGUUAAGCAUCCGACUUCAGCUCCGUUCAUGAUCUCACUGUUGGUGGGUUCAAGCCCUGCGUUAGGCUCUGUGCUGACAGCUGAGAGCCUGGAGCACACUUUGGAUUCUGUGUCUCCCUCUCUAUCUGCCCCUCCCUCACUUGCACUCUGUCUCUCUCUCUCUCAAAAAUAAAUAAACAUUAAAACAAAAUUUUUGUUUUUUAAAAAAGGAGGAGGAAAGAGAACUGCCAUGUAAUCCCACAUGGGUCCUGAAAAGUAGUCAUUAUCCUUUUCAUUAACAGUCAGAGAAUGGAUGCCCUGAGAAGACUGGCAAAUUGAGGCACAGUAAGAGGCAGGGCUUGAAUUCAGGCCCAGGUCAAUUUAGUCAGUUUGUCUAGAUCCCCUUUUCUCCGACCACCACCCUAGAGGUGGUCACUGUAUCAUGUUCAGAUGCAAAAACUCAAGACCAAAAAGCUGCAGAGCUAACAUCUUGCCCUGAAACUGGUGUCUUCCUGGCUAUCAUUUGCCUUCUGUCAAAAUAGAAUUUCCCACCACCACCUUCACCCCAACUGAACAGAAUUAUUUCUAUUUCCUGGCUUCCACUGCUUGAAUAUGUAUAUAUAUAUAUAUAUAUAUAUAUAUAUAUUCNGACAGUGCCCUAGGAAGAUGGACAUAUAGAUGCACAAAUACAAAUCAAAUUCAAUUGCUAGAAAGUAUAUAUAUAUAUAUAUAUAUAUAUAUAUAUACUUUCUAGCAAUUGAAUUUGAUUUGUAUUUGUGCAUCUAUAUGUCCAUCUUCCUAGGGCACUGUCGCUUAAAGGAGAGGACCAGAUCUUUCUGUCCUUGUAUUCCUCAGAGCCCAGAAUAAUCUCUGUGUAUAGGAGGUGCUCAGUAACUGAAGAGAAUGAACUAAUGGAUGAAUGAACAAUUUGAAGUCUCUGCUUCUGUAGCACUGAUUCAGGCUACCUGGAGUAACUCCUCUCUCGGUCCCACCUUCUCCCCACCCUCCAGACUUCCAGACACCACGCAGACUCUCAUUGACAGGACAGACAGACAUGCUCCAAAACAAAACCAGCAAGAAACACACAUCACAGAAGACUUGAGAACAUGUUCCUCUGAAAUGUAAAUGGGUCUAAUUUGAGUACUCUGUGUUUCAAACCUUCCUUUGACCUGUUCCUUUAGACCAGGUGAGAGAGAGAGAAAGAGAGAGAGAGAGAGAGAGAGAGAGAGAGAGAGAGAUGGACAAACAAAAAGAAGAGGGAGACAGAAAGAAAGAGAAACAGAGGAAAGGUGGAAAGAAGGAAGAAGACAUUAAUUCUGCAUACACUUCCAUAUUUUUACAGGCAGCAGGAAGUAUUAAAAACUGCUUCCAAAACAGGAGGUCAUGUUUCCUAGUGCAUCAGAGGGGAGAGGAAUGUUGAUUUAAAAAUCAGAUAUUAGUGGAGCCCAGAGAGCAGGAGGACCUUUUCGUUUAUUCUAAAUGUCUCGGGAGAUUGAUAGCAUGGAGAAAUGAUGCUGGCAACAGGUUCCAUCCAAUUCCUUGUUCAUAUCUGCUAGAGGGAUGAUUCUUAAUUUUUUUUGAGUCUGAAUGUCUGAGAUCCUCUGAAGGAUCUAAUGAAAUAAACAGACUAUCUUUCUAGAAAAUACAUGUUUGUGUACAUAAAACAUAUGCAUGAAAUACAUGUGAAACAUAAUUUUGAAUUCAAAGACCCCUAGAAUUAAGAUUCAAACAUUCACAUGGGUGCAAUCUAUAUAUACACCUAUGUAUAGAACAUACCUCUCCUCGCUGUUUCCCUGCUCUUCCCAGCCCUGGAACAGCCUCAAGCCUAUGUGACAUCAAAACUGAAGGAAUGUCAGGAGGUCUGUUCCUCCUAACCCAGGAUGAAAUACUGAACACAGUUUUCUGUGGAAAUAUGCUUCUGUCUGUUGAUCACAUUCUGGGUUAUCAUUAGGUCCACAUUUCUGGUACCUUAUGGGUGAACAGGCUGUGAGCUCACCUGGGGACAGAACCACUCACCUUGUUUCUUUGGGAGAAUAUGUUUCAUCUGCUUCAACCAAAUAAUUCCUUAAUGAAGAUUUGGAAUGUAGUAGGUUGGGUAUUUAGUAAGUUGUGGACAGCCUGUGCUCCUUUUGUAAAAGAGGAGAAAAUAUCCUCUUGAACAAUCAUGGAAUUGGGGUGCAAGGCCAAAGACUGAAAAAGAUGCAUGUUAUGGGGAAACACAAUUUUCUAUUAAAAAAUUGACAUUUAUGCCACACAACACUAGGACUCCGUAUCUUUAAGCCCCUUGUGCCCUCUGUGACCUGAGGCAUCACCUCUGUAGCGUUGGUAAAUGUAGGGAAGGCUGUACUUCUUCCAGCUGGUAAAAAUUUUUUACAUAGGGGCAUCUGGGUGGCUCAGUAAGUUAAGCAUCUGACUCUUGAUUUCAGGUCAGGUCAUGAUCUUACAGUUUGUGGGAUCGAGUCCUGUGUCAGGUUCUGUCCUAGCAGCGUGGAACCUGCUUAGGAUUCUCUCUCUCCCAAUCUCUCUGCCUUGCCCCCCACUUUCACUCUCUCUCUAAAUAAAUAAAUAAAUAAACAUUCAAAAAAAUAAUUUUUUUACAUUAACAUAGAUUUUAAAAAAUCUUUCUGCAAGGCUGAAUAACCAGCCAUUUUAAUGAUCUGAAACUACCUCAGAUUUCCGUACUUUGAAUUCGAUUUUGAAGCAUAGUCUCCUAUAGAAAGCACAAGAAAAAAUGAAUAAUUCAUGAAUGAUGUGGUACCUUCAUGAUUUAUUUACAGCCCAGAACUCAUGGUAACUCAGAGAACAUCAAACAUCCUACACCCUGGCCUGCCAUUUAAAGAAGCAUGGGGGGGGGGGGGGGGGGGGAGCAGAAAGGACAAGCAGAACACGUGAGAUGUGCUGUUAACCUUAUAUAAGGGCAAUGAAUAAGGAACCUAAAUAUUUGCUGAGAAAUAAAUCGAACGAUGAUCAAAAGAAAAGUCAAAGUGUCAAGAGAUUGCCUAUUGAGGCCAUGAGAGAAAUUGUAUAUGCUGCUACUCAUUAUGGCCUUCUCUCCAUGUUGUUUUGUAAUUAAUUCUUCAUGCUACCCCAGGAUUUUGUUUAGUCUUUCUGAAUAUUCCUAUUUCCUCAUAAAAUUUUCACUAUGAAAAACCACCUAAAAUUCUCAUAAUCAGGAGAGGGAUAUACUCUUGUCAGUUUUCCAACAUAUUUACACGUCUGUUGUUUUGCAAACGUCUUGUUAAAUCCCACAGGGCUCCUCUCUAGUCAUUGUCAUCACCCUUCGCCCACAGUGCCUCAGCUGGGAGGCUAUGUCAGGCAGGACUUCUUACUGGGUGGUGUAGUGCCAGAACCUGGAGUCACCCCAUCAGCGAUCGCAUAGUUGGGGGGUGGGUGGGUGAGAGUAUGGAUGACACAAUAUCUUUCUUUUUUAACAUUGUAUUUUUUUCUCCACGAAAAAAGUGAUAGUAUCCAUUAAACUGGGAAAAAUGCUUAAGAAAAUAAAAAUCUUUUUUAAAAUCCUUCAUGAGUUUUUAUAAAAUGCAACUCCCAAGUGCACUAGGGACCUUGAGGCUAAAGUACGCCCUCUACCUGGACUUCAGGCUCUGGGGACGGUGUGUUCAUUGAGCCAGGGCAGGGAUUUGGGGGGGGUGGGGAGGCCUAGCCACCCAGCCUGGGCUGACCCUACCAUCUCAGGUGAGGUGAAUCCCAAUGAUGAACAAGCUUUUGGUGAAAAUAGGUUGUUUCUGACGGAGAGGAUGUGGAGAAACGGGAGCCUUCUUGCACUGUUGGUGGGAACGCAAACUGGUGCAGCUGCUCUGGAAAACAGUGUGGAGGUUCCUCAAAAAAUUAAAAAUAGACCUACCCUAUGACCCAGCAAUAGCACUGCUAGGAAUUUACCCAAGGGAUACAGGAGUACUGAUGCAUAGGGGCACUUGUACCCCAAUGUUUAUAGCAGCACUUUCAACAAUAGCCAAAUUAUGGAAAGAGCCUAAAUGUCCACCAACUGAUGAAUGAAUAAAGAUGUGAUUUAUAUAUACAAUGGAAUACUACUUGGCAAUGAGAAAAAAUGAAAUCAUGCCAUUUGCAGCAACGUGGAUGGAACUGGAGGGUAUUAUGCUAAGAGAAAUAAGUCAGUCAGAGAAAGACAGAUACCAUAUGUUUUCACUCAUACGUGGAUCUUGAGAAACUUAACAGAAGACCAGGGGGGAGGGGAAAGGGGAAAAAAUUAUAGAGAGGGAGGGAGGCAAACCAUAAGAGACUCUUAAAUACAGAGAACAAACUGAGGGUUGAUGGNNNNNNNNNNNNNNNNNNNNNNNGGGGGGUGGGAGGGAGGGGAAAGUGGGUGAUGGGCAUUGUGGAGGGCACCUGUUGGGAUGAGCACUGGGUGUUGUAUGGAAACCAAUAUGACAAUAAAUUAUAUUCAAUAUAAAAAAAAGAAAAGAAAAUAGGUGGUUCCUUGAGAGUUCAUUUCCCCAGGGUUUCGGCAUGAAGCCACCUCAGCUACAAACACAGUUUCACUGGUGUCUUUGUCUUGAUUAAAGAUGAAAACCCAACUUAAACACAUUCCCAACCUGCUUGAGGGAUUCUCCCCAUAUAAUGCCUUCUUUUACCUUUUGUGCAGAUGGAAUAGAUGGAAAUAAUCACUUUCCUUGGGAGACACUUUGGCAAGUGGUCCUUAGCAUGGAAUUGCCUCUCUCCCUCUCUUCAAACAUAACUCAUUCUUGUGGGAUUUUUUUCUUAGCUCAGGCUGCUAUUAAAUUACCAUAGAGUGGCUUAUGAACAACAGACAUUUGUUUCUCACAGUUCUGGAGGCUGGGAGGUCCCAGACGAAGAUGUGGAUGGACUCUGUGUCUGGUGAGGUCCCUCUUUUUUUGCUUGCAGAUGGUUGUCUCCUUGCUGUGUCUUCACAUGACAGAGAGAAAGAUCAUCCCUUUCACGUCUCUACUUGUAUGAGCACUAAUCCCACUCACGAGGGCUCCACCCUUAUGACCUCAUUACCUCACAAAUGUCUCACCUUCAAAUGCUGUCAUGCUGAGGAUUAGGGCUUCCACAUAUGAAUUUGUGGGGAGACGCAAGCAUUCAGUCCGUAGCAGAGUUUAUUCCUGAGUUACAAAAACUCAAGACAGAACAAAACAAACCCAGAGCUCUGAACAGAUAAGAGACUCUCAGUGGGCUAAGGCCAUGGGGGACAUGGAGAUCCAUGAGGUGACGUGUAUUUGACUACCUUUCCUGUUCCCUCUCACACCUGCUGCAUCACUGUCUGUGGUUGCCCUGGAGACCCAAUCAUUUGAAGGCUUUGUGGGAGGCAUGUUAAACCAUAUAGGCAGUCAGAGCAGCAUUUAGGGUCACAUGUGACGCAGGACUCCUUUUUCAUGUCAAAUUUUGUUUUACACACCUGUUGUUAGGGCAUGAUAUCUACACGGAGUGGGGAUGAUGUCUGCCACAGCAGGUACCAGGCUAAACACCUCUCAGGAGGAUCACAAAUGAAGACAAACUGGGUCCAUUAAGUUUUUUUUUUUCUUUUUUAAUAAAUGGUUCGCCUACUUCCCCUCCCUUGGGCUUUUUUUAAUUAGUCUGUCAUACUAUUAGCAUCUGUCUUACUUUCUCCUUUAGGACAAAGAAUAAAGUCAGUUGCUUUAGAAGGAAGUAUAAACAUCUUGCCAAACAAAGAGGAAAACUGAGCUUCUUGGAAUGUGCAUGGCCCAAUUAAAUGGGAAAAAGUGGAGCUGACCCCGAGUCAUGGAAACAGUAGUUAUAGAAUGGAUAAACUCUUCAACAGGGAAAUCUUAGACUCUGUCUGGUGUGGGCAUCAUCGCAUAAACGUCUCCCAUAAGCCACACACACACACCACUGAGCCAAAUCCAAAUGAGAUUACGAUGCUUGUAGGGAGCUUGAAUCUAUGUACACAACCUAUAAACAGACUGAAUACUGUGGGCCAACUGUGUUGUUAGAGAGUUCCUCUAAAACAGUGGAGGUAGGGUCUGAGAUUAUUCGCCACUGCAAGGGUAUAGGUGGGAUAUGGGGAAUGGAAGACUUUCCAAGAAAUCUGCUUUUACUAAGAGGGGUCCUCCUCUAGGCCUCUUUCUGGAACAAACCUCCUGCCAUGACCUGUGGUUGUUGCAGGGGCAACUCACCUAAAAUAGGAUUGAGCCUAGAGCAGAGCAGUCUGUGGAAGUAACACAGAGUGUGUGGCAGAGAGAAACAGCUAAACCAGGCUGUUUGUUUCAAAGUGCUGAAAUUCUCUGGGCUGCCUGAUGAGCAAAGUGCAGUAAACCUAAGGGAUUUGGCCUUGGCUGGAAUUGAUCAGACAUGUGUUGCACACAAUGGCAAAUAGGUUUUUACCGGCACUGUAAGCCUACCCAGUUCAUAAAUGCUCAGUGGAGUAUUGCGUUGAGGAGGAUCCUGAGGCUGUAUUGAGCCCAACAGGAAAGAGGGCUGUGAACAGUGUGGCAAUAUCUACAAUGGACCAGGGAUGGAAGAGUAAUGGCCAGGUGCCAUAUACCUACCAUCUCUGAACCGCACACUGAUAUUGAAAAUUUUGGGUCUAGAAAAAUAGGUUGGAAUUGAGUCAUGGGAAACUUUGAAUAUUAGACCAAAGAGUCUGGCCUUUAUUUUGAGAAAUGUUGUGGUUCAUUUGUUCAGAACAGUAGUGCUAAAAAUAGGGAAUGUAAAUGCCUUGAGCAAGAUUCAUUCUCUCCACUUGUCAGCAGGCCUACAUUGCUCCCUGUUGUCCUAAACAUUCAGUCACAUCUUACACUUAAAUCACCUGAAGGUAUUUGAGUUUGCAGCCCUGUUGCAGGAAUUGGAGAAUAGUUGAUGGAUCGUGAGUUGGAAAAUGACACGCUCAGAACAUACUUUAGGAAGAUUAUUCUUGCAGAGAUGUGAAAGAUGGAUUGGAGGGGGGGGAAAGGACAGAAGCUUCAAUACUAGUUAAAGAAGUCCCUGGAACCUUCCAUCUAAGAGUUAUACAUGCAUACCUAACCUAGAACUGUGGAAAUAAAAAGUGAUCUAAGAGAUGUUGUAGAAGUGAUAUCAAGGUGUAGGUCGGGUGUAGGAGAUGGAGAGAAGAGAGACUUCAAAAUGAUGUCAAAGUAUACACCUGGGACUGAUUGGAGACUGGUGAUACCAUUAACAGAAAUAGGGAAUUCAAGUAGAAGAAUAAAUUUAGACUGGAAUGUGGAGAAGAAGCAGAUGAGCAGGUGAAUUUUAGCACCCAGUUAUUUUUCUGAUGCUGUUACUGUUACAGAUGGUCUUUGUCACAGCACAACAUUUCCUUGAGAAAAGCUGUAGGUUGAACAUGGUAUCUUGUUUUAUCUUUCCUAAGACUAAUGGAGGGAAUCCGAUUUGGACAGCUGGCUGAGGUUAAAGGUUUAGUUUGUGGCCAUGGAAUGAAGCCAUAUUAACUGGGAUGAAAUCUGUGCCCUUGACCAGAAGAGCAAAGGACUAACUGGUAAUCACCUUCAGCCAUUUCUGUUACGGCAUCUAAUCAGGUAUUGGCUUCCUGUCCUCAACACUUUGCCAGCUGGACGGCCACCUUGCCUUAUUGCCUGGCACAAGUAUGGAUGGAUGUCCCACUGUUGCACUUGUUUGAUGCUUCAUCCCUCUUGAUCCAGUGUGAGAUUGAUUGGAUGAGCAUGAUGGGGAGUGGAGAAGUAUGCUAGGUCGAUAAGUGUGGGUGCAUACGGUCUUGCUAGAUGCUUAGUUUUUCACCCUGCCUGUCCAUCCAGUCUCUGAGAUCUGCUUCAUGAUGCCAGAUGGUGGGUUUGCUAAUGGUACUUGCUACACAUCUCCCACCUAGCAUCUUCUCACUGAUGCUUGAUGCCAAGACCUAUUCUCACCUGGCUCUGAGUCCUGGUUCAGUUAUCAGCUAACUUAGUGGCUUGGUAUGACCUUUUUAUUGUUUUUCAUGAUCCAUAGGUUGACUGGGGUUCAGGUAGAUGUCUCACAGCAUGCUCACAAAGCUAUGGAUGGGGCUGGAAUAUCCAAGAGGCUUCAUUCACAUGUCUGGCCCUUUGACAAGGACAACUGGAAGCUGGAGCCCAUAAGCCGAGCUACUGAUGGCUGAGUCUCUUGCUCUCACUGUGUAGUCUCAGGUCUCUCCUUUUCCCUGUGGCUCCUUCACAUGGUCUCUCCAGCAGUAGCAGGUUGGCUGAACUUCUUACAUGGCACCGAGGGAUUUCCAAAGAACAAUUCAGAAGCUGUCAUGGCUUCUGAUGACUUAGGCCCAGAACUGGCACAGAGUUGCUUCUGCCUCGUAUUGGUCAAACCAAGUCAUGCAGCCACCCUAGAUUUAGAGUGGGAAGGCACUAUGCAAGGAUGUGAAUAUUGGGAGGCACAAUUGACAGGCCAUUGGAUGUCCCCACUUCUAUCUCAGAAUAAAGUCCUCUGGGGGCGCCUGGGUGGCUCCAUCAGUUAAGUCCAACUCCUGAUUUUGACUCAGGCCAUGAUCUCAUGACUUGUGAAUUCAAGACCUGCCUAGAACUCUGUGCUGACAGCAUGGAGCCUGCUUGGGAUUCUCUCUCUACCCUUCUCCCCUCAAAAUAAAUAAAUAAAUAUUAAAAAAAAAAAGAAUACAGUCCUCUGAGGACCUCUGUGAACUACCUCCCACAGUGUCUGACCUCAACUCCAUCCUCCCUCCUUCCCUCACUUCUCUCUAGCUCCUCUGGCCCCCUUCAGCCUGAGACAGAUGGAAGGAAGCUUUCAGUGAGGUAUUGGUGGGAGCCUGAGUGAGUCUUGCCAGACAUGUAGGAAUCAUUUAGGUAAGCAAGUAAUGGUAAGGGAAUACCAAGAGAGGUUAAAACAUUUAAGAGCGCUGAAGAUUUUGAAAAUUACCAGUCAUGUGGUGAGAACAUAGAGUAGGUAAUGGUGUAUUGUGGAAGAUGAGGCUAAAAGAGACAAGGAGGAGCCAGCUGACAGAAAAUUAUGUGUCGAGCCAAAGAAUUUCAGUUUGGUUCCUUAGGUAUUAAAGAGUUGUAGGUAGGAAACACUUGAUUGGAUUUGAAUGUUAGAAAGAACACUCUUUGGGAUUUUGGGAGAUGCAGUAGAGACUGUAGAGAUUUAAAAAACAGAGAUACCAAUUAGGAGGUUAUUACAAACUAUCAGGUAAGACAUGUUGAAGGUCUUAGCAAGGCUGUCCCUAGAGUGCAUGAGUCCCUGGGCAAGAUAUUUUGGGGGAACCCUGUCUAUAUAAAAAAAAUUGAUUAAAAAUGUAUUACCAAGCUUAUGAGUCCAUAAAAGAUGAUUAACUUAUGGUUUAAGAAAUGGGUGAAGUAGAGAUUCUCAUAAUUGUUUUCUAUCCAAUCAGUGCAUAAAAAGAUUCUUUCUAGUAUCCUGGGCCCCACCUGCUCCUAUUCAGGUUUAGGAAGUAUCUCUUCAUGCUCUGUUGUGUUGAAUAUGAGGUUCCUGGCUAAUUUAUAUCUCCCAUGGCAAGAAAGGGUAGCAACACAGUUCUUACAAUGUCAUGGCUCUUGGUGAGCUGUUUAUAUAGAAGUAAUACAGGUCUUUUUUCUAUUAUUUAACUUUUUGAAAUGUUUAUUUAUUUCUGAGAGACAGAGACAGACAGAGUGCAAGCCGGGGAGGGGCAGAAAGAGAGGGAGAUACAGAAUCUGAAGCGGGGUCCAGGCUCUGAGCUGUCAGCACAGAGCCCAAUGCGAGACUCGAACCCACAAACUGUGAGAUCAUGACCUGAGCCGAAGUCAGAUGCUUAACUGACUGAGCCACCUAGGCACCCCAAUACAGAUCUUUUUAUUCCUAUAAUUCAUUAACAUCAGUUAUUUCAUGCCUGUUACAUCAUCACUCAUGAUGUGACAUCAUCCAUUGUACUGCUCUGAAUACUGGCUUGCAAUGUUUCUGUCAUGGGUUGUUAUUCUGUGUCAUUGGCGAUGACCACAAAUGCAAGUUUUGCUCAAGGUAUGCACAAAAAUGUGAACGAUAAUUUGUUUUCUGCUCAUAUUAAAUUUGUUGAUAAGAAUUUUAUACCUUAAAUGUAAAAUAGCACAUAUUUUAACCAUGCUUUCCUUUGAACUCUUUAGGCUGUAACCCCUGCAUUCCCAGAAUGUCAUCUCUUUUAGUGUUGAUCCCACUCCUGUCUUCCACCACCACCUGCAAAGAGGAUAGGAGAUGAGCCUCCGAGCCUGUCGGGAAGAGCAUAGUCCCAAUAGCCAUGCAAUGUCCAUCCCUCAUCUGGCAGGCCUUAAGAACAACCUGGGAGAGCACAAUGCCACCAUAUCAAUCCAAAGGAGAGAAAGGACAUUGAUCAGAAGGCCCAGUGUUAUUGCACAGCAACAAUUUCAAAAGCCCUUGGAGGAGACAGGCCUGGCCAUUACUAGGAGACUCUCUGACACGUGGUGCAGAACCUGAAAAAGGAACAGGGCAACUGCCUUGGAUGCCAGAAGCAAGAGAGGUCGGGGGUAAUGGAUUCC
Molecule: long non-coding RNA, 26319 nt
Filed under: Lynx pardinus (Iberian lynx)
Lineage: Eukaryota; Metazoa; Chordata; Mammalia; Carnivora; Felidae
Rfam family: tRNA (bases 7935-8019)
Source: RNAcentral